RNAcentral lists this ribosomal RNA (694 nucleotides) under uncultured Vagococcus sp. RNAcentral describes it as "bacterial SSU rRNA". It matches the Rfam family "Bacterial small subunit ribosomal RNA", at positions 804 to 1502 of the family's 1533-position model. Lineage: Bacteria; Bacillati; Bacillota; Bacilli; Lactobacillales; Enterococcaceae. The record is from RNAcentral.
AAACGAUGAGUGCUAAGUGUUGGAGGUUUCCCCUUCAGUGCUGCAGCAAACGCAUUAAGCACUCCGCUGGGGAGUACGACCGCAAGGUUGAAACUCAAAGGAAUUGACGGGGGCCCGCACAAGCGGUGGAGCAUGUGGUUUAAUUCGAAGCAACGCGAAGAACCUUACCAGGUCUUGACAUCCUUUGACCACUCUAGAGAUAGAGCUUUCCCUUCGGGGACAAAGUGACAGGUGGUGCAUGGUUGUCGUCAGCUCGUGUCGUGAGAUGUUGGGUUAAGUCCCGCAACGAGCGCAACCCUUAUUGUUAGUUGCCAUCAUUUAGUUGGGCACUCUAGCGAGACUGCCGGUGACAAACCGGAGGAAGGUGGGGAUGACGUCAAAUCAUCAUGCCCCUUAUGACCUGGGCUACACACGUGCUACAAUGGGAAGUACAACGAGUCGCUAGGCCGCGAGGUCAUGCAAAUCUCUUAAAGCUUCUCUCAGUUCGGAUUGUAGGCUGCAACUCGCCUACAUGAAGCCGGAAUCGCUAGUAAUCGCGGAUCAGCACGCCGCGGUGAAUACGUUCCCGGGCCUUGUACACACCGCCCGUCACACCACGAGAGUUUGUAACACCCGAAGUCGGUGAGGUAACCUUUUGGAGCCAGCCGCCUAAGGUGGGAUAGAUGAUUGGGGUGAAGUCGUAACAAGGUAACCA